CCUACGGGUGGCAGCAGUGGGGAAUAUUGGACAAUGGGCGAAAGCCUGAUCCAGCCAUGCCGCGUGUGUGAAGAAGGCCUUCGGGUUGUAAAGCACUUUCAGUGGGGAAGAAAGCCUUGGGGCUAAUACCCUCGAGGAAGGACAUCACCCACAGAAGAAGCACCGGCUAACUCCGUGCCAGCAGCCGCGGUAAUACGGAGGGUGCGAGCGUUAAUCGGAAUUACUGGGCGUAAAGCGCGCGUAGGCGGUCUGAUAAGCCGGUUGUGAAAGCCCCGGGCUCAACCUGGGAACGGCAUCCGGAACUGUCAGGCUAGAGUGCAGGAGAGGAAGGUAGAAUUCCCGGUGUAGCGGUGAAAUGCGUAGAGAUCGGGAGGAAUACCAGUGGCGAUGGCGGCCUUCUGGACUGACACUGACGCUGAGGUGCGAAAGCGUGGGUAGCAAACAGGAUUAGAUACCCCAGUAGUC
This 465-nucleotide ribosomal RNA is filed under the name Vreelandella stevensii. Its description in RNAcentral is "partial 16S ribosomal RNA". It matches the Rfam family "Bacterial small subunit ribosomal RNA", at positions 338 to 795 of the family's 1533-position model. Lineage: Bacteria; Pseudomonadati; Pseudomonadota; Gammaproteobacteria; Oceanospirillales; Halomonadaceae. The record is from RNAcentral.